CGAAUGCUGACAUAAGUAACGAUAAAGCGGGUGAAAAGCCCGCUCGCCGGAAGACCAAGGGUUCCUGUCCAACGUUAAUCGGGGCAGGGUGAGUCGACCCCUAAGGCGAGGCCGAAAGGCGUAGUCGAUGGGAAACAGGUUAAUAUUCCUGUACUUGGUGUUACUGCGAAGGGGGGACGGAGAAGGCUAUGUUGGCCGGGCGACGGUUGUCCCGGUUUAAGCGUGUAGGCUGGUUUUCCAGGCAAAUCCGGAAAAUCAAGGCUGAGGCGUGAUGACGAGGCACUACGGUGCUGAAGCAACAAAUGCCCUGCUUCCAGGAAAAGCCUCUAAGCAUCAGGUAACAUCAAAUCGUACCCCAAACCGACACAGGUGGUCAGGUAGAGAAUACCAAGGCGCUUGAGAGAACUCGGGUGAAGGAACUAGGCAAAAUGGUGCCGUAACUUCGGGAGAAGGCACGCUGAUAUGUAGGUGAAGCGACUUGCUCGUGGAGCUGAAAUCAGUCGAAGAUACCAGCUGGCUGCAACUGUUUAUUAAAAACACAGCACUGUGCAAACACGAAAGUGGACGUAUACGGUGUGACGCCUGCCCGGUGCCGGAAGGUUAAUUGAUGGGGUUAGCGGUAACGCGAAGCUCUUGAUCGAAGCCCCGGUAAACGGCGGCCGUAACUAUAACGGUCCUAAGGUAGCGAAAUUCCUUGUCGGGUAAGUUCCGACCUGCACGAAUGGCGUAAUGAUGGCCAGGCUGUCUCCACCCGAGACUCAGUGAAAUUGAACUCGCUGUGAAGAUGCAGUGUACCCGCGGCAAGACGGAAAGACCCCGUGAACCUUUACUAUAGCUUGACACUGAACAUUGAGCCUUGAUGUGUAGGAUAGGUGGGAGGCUUAGAAGUGUGGACGCCAGUCUGCAUGGAGCCGACCUUGAAAUACCACCCUUUAAUGUUUGAUGUUCUAACGUUGGCCCCUGAUCGGGGUUGCGGACAGUGUCUGGUGGGUAGUUUGACUGGGGCGGUCUCCUCCUAAAGAGUAACGGAGGAGCACGAAGGUUGGCUAAUCCUGGUCGGACAUCAGGAGGUUAGUGCAAUGGCAUAAGCCAGCUUGACUGCGAGCGUGACGGCGCGAGCAGGUGCGAAAGCAGGUCAUAGUGAUCCGGUGGUUCUGAAUGGAAGGGCCAUCGCUCAACGGAUAAAAGGUACUCCGGGGAUAACAGGCUGAUACCGCCCAAGAGUUCAUAUCGACGGCGGUGUUUGGCACCUCGAUGUCGGCUCAUCACAUCCUGGGGCUGAAGUAGGUCCCAAGGGUAUGGCUGUUCGCCAUUUAAAGUGGUACGCGAGCUGGGUUUAGAACGUCGUGAGACAGUUCGGUCCCUAUCUGCCGUGGGCGCUGGAGAACUGAGGGGGGCUGCUCCUAGUACGAGAGGACCGGAGUGGACGCAUCACUGGUGUUCGGGUUGUCAUGCCAAUGGCACUGCCCGGUAGCUAAAUGCGGAAGAGAUAAGUGCUGAAAGCAUCUAAGCACGAAACUUGCCCCGAGAUGAGUUCUCCCUGACUCCUUGAGAGUCCUGAAGGAACGUUGAAGACGACGACGUUGAUAGGCCGGGUGUGUAAGCGCAGCGAUGCGUUGAGCUAACCGGUACUAAUGAACCGUGAGGCUUAACCUU
Molecule: ribosomal RNA, 1656 nt
Filed under: Escherichia coli
Lineage: Bacteria; Pseudomonadati; Pseudomonadota; Gammaproteobacteria; Enterobacterales; Enterobacteriaceae
Description: partial 23S ribosomal RNA
Rfam family: Bacterial large subunit ribosomal RNA
Source: RNAcentral